Ornithodoros turicata is the source of this 258-nucleotide long non-coding RNA. RefSeq lists it as uncharacterized. The transcript has 3 exons. The record is from RefSeq and is a predicted model, not a curated record. NCBI's taxonomy places the organism in Eukaryota, Metazoa, Arthropoda, Arachnida, Ixodida, Argasidae.
GGAUAGCGUGAGGGUUUGGCAUCUCGCAAACACUGGAUCAACUAACAGCUAUACAGUCCACUUGGACGGAAAGAUUUGUACGAAACGCCCGCAUCUUCCCCGGGAGGAGGUUUGGCCGCCUAUACGACAAACGCAAUUCAGAUGAGAAGGACGAAGCGGUCACCUGUUACAGGACUUACCAGGUGAUCAUGACCUAGGAGGGCGCCACCGUCCUCCUUACGGAAGGACCCGUAUGAAGGGGCGUCCGAGGCUCCGUUU